RNAcentral lists this ribosomal RNA (419 nucleotides) under bacterium. RNAcentral's name for it is "partial 16S ribosomal RNA". It matches the Rfam family "Bacterial small subunit ribosomal RNA", at positions 355 to 776 of the family's 1533-position model. The record is from RNAcentral.
UGGGGGAUAUUGCACAAUGGGCGAAAGCCUGAUGCAGCGACGCCGCGUGGGGGAUGAAGGCCUUCGGGUUGUAAACUUCUUUUGCUCUGAACAAGGCAUGCUAAUGGGUGUGUUGAGUGUAGGGGUUGAUUAGCGCCGGCUAACUACGUGCCAGCAGCCGCGGUAAUACGUAGGGCGCGAGCGUUGUCCGGAAUUAUUGGGCGUAAAGGGCUUGUAGGUGGCUGGUUGCGUCUGUCGUGAAAGCUCAUGGCUUAACUGUGGGUUUGCGGUGGGUACGGGCUGGCUUGAGUGCAGUAGGGGAGGCUGGAAUGCCUGGUGUAGCGGUGGAAUGCGCAGAUAUCAGGAGGAAUACCGGUGGCGAAGGCGGGUCUCUGGGCUGUUACUGACACUGAGGAGCGAAAGCAUGGGGAGCGAACAGG